RNAcentral lists this small RNA (107 nucleotides) under Marmota monax (woodchuck). Lineage: Eukaryota; Metazoa; Chordata; Mammalia; Rodentia; Sciuridae. The record is from RNAcentral.
ACUGGGCCUGGUCGUGCAUGCCUGUAAUCCCUGUGGCUCAGGAGGCUGAGGCAGGAGGAUUGGGAGUUUGAGGCCAGUCUCAGAAACUUUGUGAGACCCUGUCUCAA